AUGAACGCUGGCGGCGUGCCUAAUACAUGCAAGUCGAGCGAACAGACGAGGAGCUUGCUCCUCUGACGUUAGCGGCGGACGGGUGAGUAACACGUGGAUAACCUACCUAUAAGACUGGGAUAACUUCGGGAAACCGGAGCUAAUACCGGAUAAUAUAUUGAACCGCAUGGUUCAAUAGUGAAAGACGGUUUUGCUGUCACUUAUAGAUGGAUCCGCGCCGCAUUAGCUAGUUGGUAAGGUAACGGCCUACCAAGGCAACGAUGCGUAGCCGACCUGAGAGGGUGAUCGGCCACACUGGAACUGAGACACGGUCCAGACUCCUACGGGAGGCAGCAGUAGGGAAUCUUCCGCAAUGGGCGAAAGCUUGACGGAGCAACGCCGCGUGAGUGAUGAAGGUCUUCGGAUCGUAAAACUCUGUUAUUAGGGAAGAACAAAUGUGUAAGUAACUAUGCACGUCUUGACGGUACCUAAUCAGAAAGCCACGGCUAACUACGUG
Molecule: ribosomal RNA, 496 nt
Filed under: uncultured bacterium
Lineage: Bacteria
Description: partial 16S ribosomal RNA
Rfam family: Bacterial small subunit ribosomal RNA
Source: RNAcentral